AGGACGAACGCUGGCGGCGUGCCUAAUACAUGCAAGUCGAACGGUCUUUCUAUGGAAGCUUGCUUCCACUGAGAAGAUAGUGGCGAACGGGUGAGUAACACGUGGGUAACCUGCCCAUAAGAGGGGGGAUAACAUCCGGAAACGGGUGCUAAUACCGCAUAGUUUUCUUGGUCGCAUGAUCGGGAAAGGAAAGACGGCCUUUGUGCUGUCGCUUAUGGAUGGACCCGCGGCGUAUUAGUUAGUUGGUGAGGUAACGGCUCACCAAGACGAUGAUACGUAGCCGACCUGAGAGGGUGAUCGGCCACAUUGGGACUGAGACACGGCCCAAACUCCUACGGGAGGCAGCAGUAGGGAAUCUUCCGCAGUGGACGAAAGUCUGACGGAGCAACGCCGCGUGAGUGAAAGAAGGUUUUCGGAUCGUAAAACUCUGUUGUCAGAGAAGAACAAGUUGGAGAGUAACUGCUCCAGCCUUGACGGUAUCUGACCAGAAAGCCACGGCUAACUACGUGCCAGCCGCGGC
RNAcentral lists this ribosomal RNA (520 nucleotides) under uncultured bacterium. RNAcentral describes it as "bacterial SSU rRNA". It matches the Rfam family "Bacterial small subunit ribosomal RNA", at positions 26 to 518 of the family's 1533-position model. The record is from RNAcentral.